This 305-nucleotide ribosomal RNA is filed under the name uncultured bacterium. RNAcentral describes it as "bacterial SSU rRNA". It matches the Rfam family "Bacterial small subunit ribosomal RNA", at positions 337 to 653 of the family's 1533-position model. The record is from RNAcentral.
GCCUACGGGGCGCAGCAGUCGAGAAUCAUUCAUAAUGGGGGAAACCCUGAUGGUGCGACGCCGCGUGGGGGAAUGAAGGUCUUCGGAUUGUAGACCCCUGUCAUGUGGGAGCAAAUUAAAAAGAUAGUACCACAAGAGGAAGAGACGGCUAACUCUGUGCCAGCAGCCGCGGUAAUACAGAGGUCUCAAGCGUUGUUCGGAAUCACUGGGCGUAAAGCGUGCGUAGGCUGUUUCGUAAGUCGUGUGUGAAAGGCGCGGGCUCAACCCGCGGACGGCACAUGAUACUGCGAGACUAGAGUAAUGGG